RNAcentral lists this long non-coding RNA (212 nucleotides) under Malus domestica (apple). Its description in RNAcentral is "long non-coding RNA (MDOM_LNC012890)". The record is from RNAcentral. Lineage: Eukaryota; Viridiplantae; Streptophyta; Magnoliopsida; Rosales; Rosaceae.
UGUUAAAAUGGCUUAUUUUUCACUUUGGUUAAUAACCUAAGUGAAUGCAUGCUUCCAGAGUCCCACUCUGAUGUUUCUUUCUCAAAGGCAAUAAUACUCUAUCAGUUGCUUUGGUUCUGAUCCUGGGAUAUAGAGUAAUAUCUUAAAGUGACAAACUCAGUGGUUCUUCACCUUUGGAUAUCUACUUCACAAGUCCAUACAUGUGUCCCUUU